Molecule: long non-coding RNA, 803 nt
Filed under: Homo sapiens (human)
Lineage: Eukaryota; Metazoa; Chordata; Mammalia; Primates; Hominidae
Description: non-protein coding lnc-MRPS18A-4:1
Source: RNAcentral
AUGGUAGCUGGGUUCAAAACCACGGAACCUCUGGUAAUUACAGGAGAUUUCUGAAAGAGAUCUGCCUUGCUGAUGAAAGAGAACUUGGUGAAUUCAGAACCACAACUGUCAACACAGGUUCAAUUAGUACUGCAGUCGGUUCUCCUUUAGUGAAGCUGGGAAAUACUACAGUAAUGUGUAAGGUUAAAGCAGAGUUUGCAGCACCAUCCACAGAUGCUUCCAUAAAGGAUCUGUGGCUCCCACUGGGGCUCUGCCACCCUUGUGUUCCACUGAGAUUUCAGUCUGGACCUCCUGGAGAAGAGAUCCAAGCCACUAGCCAGAUCACUGAAGAUAUCACUGAAAAUUCACAGAUAAUUCAGAAAAGGAAUUUAUGCAUUUCUCCAGGAAAGCGUGCUUGAAUUCUAUGCUAUGAUCUCAUUCGCCUCUCUCAUUUGCCUAUUAUGGAAGCAUUUUGGAUGCCUGCACAUUUGCUUUGUAAGCAGCUUUUUAAAAUGUACAGUUGCCUGAAGUUGCUAGAAAGAGACUAUUUUAGCAGAAGUUAAGAAGAGAAGUUAUUUGAAUACUAGAACUUACCCAGCUGCAACUUCCUUUGCCGUGUUUGAUGACACUUUGCUCAUAGCUGACCUGACUGGAGAGGAGGAACAUCUGGCAACUGGAAUCUUAAUAACAGUAAUGGAAGAGGAAGCAGGCUCUGGUGUCCUCACCAAGCAGGUAAAAGUGGGCUGACUGGAGCUAGACUCCAGGACUAGAUGAACCGAGCUGUUACAAGACACAAAGCUAUUUAAAAUGCAAUGGAUGAAGUA